UCCAACAACAAGCUCCACACAGGUGCAGAGCCCAUAUGUGUGAUCAGAAAGAACUCUGACCUGCCAAGUCACCACCUAUGCAUGCAACGGCUAAUCUUCAUUAUUUGCAAUGCAAGAGGAGGAAUCCACAAACUUAAGAGCCCCUUCUUGAGUAUCUGUGAGACAUCCAAAAUGGCAGCUCUAAGAGGUUCAUUUGGGAAGUGAGAAAUGCCAUCCCACUGAUGUUGAGGAGUGGACAACGUAACAACAAACUAUGGAUUCUCAGGGUUUCCAAUUUUUCAUAUCAUUACUUCAAAAGAAAAAAUGUGAAUGCUUCUUCAUGCUGCAGAAACCUGAAUGUAUAAAGAAUAUUUACAACCACACUGUAAAUACCUUUCAUUGUCUUUAAAAUACGGUUCCACAAAAGCUUUCUGUCUGGCUUUAUCUUGUUUGUUUCCAUGGUCUGCAAAUAUAAAUAACAUGACAUAAUAAUGCUGUCCUAUGUGCAUUCAAAAUAUGGCUCUUUAUUUGCUAUUAGUUGUUCUCAAUCUAUGUGGAAUAGGAUCUGAUCACAUGAUUAACAGAACAAUGCACACACAACACUGUGGUGUGUACCAUACACAAUUUCUAUAUUCAUCAUUCAGGUGUGGCUUGUCGGAGAGGAAAACAACCCUCCAAUAACCCUAAAAAAGCCCAUCAGUUCUUGAAGCAUUGUUUCCUCUUCCAAGAACCCAUGCUAUCCAGGUUUGUGAUUGGAUGGUGAUUAUGGGAAUUAUGCCUUGGAUGGCUUAUUAGGAUCAUGCAAAUGGCUUAAUGAAAUAGCAAUAUUAAAAAACUCAUACAUACUCUGUGU
Varanus komodoensis (Komodo dragon) is the source of this 832-nucleotide long non-coding RNA. RefSeq lists it as uncharacterized. The transcript is spliced from 3 exons. The record is from RefSeq and is a predicted model, not a curated record. Lineage: Eukaryota; Metazoa; Chordata; Lepidosauria; Squamata; Varanidae.